CCAUACACCUCACAGCUCCUGGUAAGUAACGUUAGUCAGCUAAUCCUACUUACGUUUGUAACACUUUAUUAAAAAGUUAAUAAUUAUUAAGCAUUUUCUAACAAUUGUCUUUGUAUUUUACGUCAUAUUCAACAAGUUUCGUAGCUUAAUCGAAGUCACCUGAAGGACGGCUUUCCUCAGCAACGGCAAGACCCGCACUCCUCUCAUAUUGUGAAGUUUAACAAGUUUCGCGGCUCAAACAAGAGGCACCUGUCACUGAAGGACUCCUUUUCUCAGCAACGACGUGAACAGCAUUACUCGAAUUUCCUGGUUCAGCUGAUCUACCCGUCUUCGUACAAGCAGAGUUGGCAGAGGAGGUCAUAAAAAUCUACAUCCUUCGGGACAAUAAUGGGGCAGUCAGCGAUGUAAUCUUGGGAAUCUCAGCAGAGCCUGCUGCCAUCUUUCAGGAGUCACAUUGGAUUUGAGAUAUCCCAAGACCCACAAAUACAGGUCCUUCUCCAAAAAUUAGCAUAUUGUGAUAAAGUUCAUUAUUUUCCAUAAUGUAAUGAUAAAAAUUAAACUUUCAUAUAUUUUAGAUUCAUUGCACACCAAC
Long non-coding RNA from Carassius gibelio (silver crucian carp), 592 nucleotides. RefSeq lists it as uncharacterized. Lineage: Eukaryota; Metazoa; Chordata; Actinopteri; Cypriniformes; Cyprinidae. The record is from RefSeq and is a predicted model, not a curated record. The transcript is spliced from 3 exons.